Molecule: ribosomal RNA, 217 nt
Filed under: uncultured bacterium
Lineage: Bacteria
Description: partial 16S ribosomal RNA
Rfam family: Bacterial small subunit ribosomal RNA
Source: RNAcentral
UACGGAGGGAGCUAGCGUUAUUCGGAAUUACUGGGCGUAAAGCGCACGUAGGCGGCUUUGUAAGUAAGAGGUGAAAGCCCAGAGCUCAACUCUGGAAUUGCCUUUUAGACUGCAUCGCUUGAAUCAUGGAGAGGUCAGUGGAAUUCCGAGUGUAGAGGUGAAAUUCGUAGAUAUUCGGAAGAACACCAGUGGCGAAGGCGGCUGACUGGACAUGUAU